RNAcentral lists this ribosomal RNA (465 nucleotides) under uncultured Klebsiella sp. RNAcentral describes it as "bacterial SSU rRNA". It matches the Rfam family "Bacterial small subunit ribosomal RNA", at positions 338 to 795 of the family's 1533-position model. The record is from RNAcentral. Lineage: Bacteria; Pseudomonadati; Pseudomonadota; Gammaproteobacteria; Enterobacterales; Enterobacteriaceae.
CCUACGGGUGGCAGCAGUGGGGAAUAUUGCGCAAUGGGCGCAAGCCUGAUGCAGCCAUGCCGCGUGUGUGAAGAAGGCCUUCGGGUUGUAAAGCACUUUCAGCGGGGAGGAAGGCGGUGAGGUUAAUAACCUCAUCGAUUGACGUUACCCGCAGAAGAAGCACCGGCUAACUCCGUGCCAGCAGCCGCGGUAAUACGGAGGGUGCAAGCGUUAAUCGGAAUUACUGGGCGUAAAGCGCACGCAGGCGGUCUGUCAAGUCGGAUGUGAAAUCCCCGGGCUCAACCUGGGAACUGCAUUCGAAACUGGCAGGCUAGAGUCUUGUAGAGGGGUGUAGAAUUCCAGGUGUAGCGGUGAAAUGCGUAGAGAUCUGGAGGAAUACCGGUGGCGAAGGCGGCCCCCUGGACAAAGACUGACGCUCAGGUGCGAAAGCGUGGGGAGCAAACAGGAUUAGAUACCCCGGUAGUC